AGACGCGCGAGUGAGGAGCGUCGCCACCGUCGUCGCGCCGUGCGUCGCCAGCUUCGCUGCACCUCGUCAUCACCAUCGCCGUCGGACCACCAUGGAGUCGUUGCCGUCGAACCGGCGCUGCGAGCUGCUAUCGAGCCUCAAGCAGAAUCCGAUGCGAAGAGAGAGACAUAACAACGCGAGGAGAGAGAGAAGGCGUUGUGGGAGUUUCUGCCGCCGCUGCUCUCUCCGCCAUCGCCGCUGCCGGAGUCACGAGAUGAGGUGGGGAAGGAGACCAUUUUCCCUGUUGCUGUUGCAGUCACUGCGCUACUACUGCUAUGCUUCAUUUUCCUUGUUUUCCUUAAUUACCGAUUAAGCUGCUACAACUGUGGACUGUGAUGGUUGAUGCUCUGAAAGAGUCGUCGCUGCUGGGGCGACUGGAAUUACUACUGCCAGUUCUACCGUUGCUACCAAUGCUGUUGACUUGCCCCAAUUCAAGUUCAGUGUCACUGCCCUAGAGUUGUUUCCGCGUUUGAUUCCAUCAAAUUUGAUGUUGCUGCUGUUAAUACUGCUGAUUCUAAUGCCAUUGCUGCUGUUGCUGUUAAUUUGGAAUAAGUGGGUUUGUCGCCUUUGAUUCUUGAAUUCAGCUAGUCGAGCUUUACCUUUUCAGGAACCAGAUGAAGAGGCAUUAAGAGGAGUUAUACUGGGUUUGACUUAUAUGAUGCUGUGUUAAUUAGAUUAUUUUCUUCCCUCAUCUUUGUCAUUACAAACUUGUAAGAGGGAUAGGAAUUGUAUGUUCUAUAUGUAUAUUAUUUUAUGAGGUAUUAUGUAAGGAGUC
Non-coding RNA from Arachis ipaensis, 814 nucleotides. Lineage: Eukaryota; Viridiplantae; Streptophyta; Magnoliopsida; Fabales; Fabaceae. The record is from RefSeq and is a predicted model, not a curated record.